RNAcentral lists this ribosomal RNA (92 nucleotides) under uncultured bacterium. RNAcentral describes it as "partial 16S ribosomal RNA". The record is from RNAcentral.
CCCGUCACAUCACGAAAGCAGGUUGCACUAGAAGUCGCCGAGCUAACCCGCAAGGGAUGCCAGUGCCCAAGGUGUGGCUUGUGAUUGGGGUG